AGUUCAUCGCAACACUCAGCCUGUCAGUCAGGUUGUGGGAUCCCUCCUAUCCAGGAACUGUAUGCUGUUGUCCCGGUUCUGACACUUUCCCUCUGAGUCCUUGGACACCUUACCUAACCUCUUGGAAGCUCCUGUCUGUGAAGGGUGUGCACAGAGAGCUUCGGUAGCCUGCGAAGCAGCCAUUUUCACUUCCACGGAGCAGAUGCUGGCCUGGGUGCUGGAAUAUGGAAAUGAGGAAGAUCCUGCCUGAGGAUUUCAUGACAGUGCUGCGAUUACCGACGUGAGCCACUGUGCCCAGCCUCACUUUAAAAAAAAAAAAAGGUUAUGAAGCAUCUCAACACAAGACCUCCUUUGCUCAUCACAACCACCCAGUGAAGCAGGCAAGACAACAGAAACUCCCCACCUGUGAUAGAUGUGAGGCCUGAAGUCUCCCACAUACCCACGGCAGAUGCAACGCACAGCGGUGACCAAUGGUGAAGGAUCUAAAACCUGAAAAGAGGCCAAAUGAUUCCUCAAAACCACGCAAGUACGAAGUAGCAGAGCGGAUCUCAAAUCCAGAAUACUACUAAAGUCAUGCCGUGUGACUUCUGAAGCUAGCUCCUAAGAAGUCCUUGCAGCUUCUGCCUGCGACUCUUAGAACACUUGCUUUGAAGGAUGCCAGAUGCUGUCUUAAAAGUCUGAGCACUCUGAAACCAUCAUGCUGUGAGGAAGCCCAAGCUAACCACAUGGGCAAAAAAGAUGCCCUCUGACUGCCACCAUUUGAGACACUCUAAUUAAGAACUGCCUCAUUGAGCCCAUGAGGCCCUGUGAAUGAUAAUAAUAAAUUGUUUUUAACCACUAUGUUUUUGGAUUUGUUAUAAGUUUAUAGAUAACAAGAAAAAGUUAUAUUAGCAUGGUAAUAAAAUUAUGGAUAUGUGUAA
RNAcentral lists this long non-coding RNA (920 nucleotides) under Homo sapiens (human). RNAcentral's name for it is "HSALNT0349594". Lineage: Eukaryota; Metazoa; Chordata; Mammalia; Primates; Hominidae. The record is from RNAcentral.